This 320-nucleotide ribosomal RNA is filed under the name uncultured eukaryote. RNAcentral describes it as "partial 18S ribosomal RNA". It matches the Rfam family "Eukaryotic small subunit ribosomal RNA", at positions 1470 to 1796 of the family's 1831-position model. The record is from RNAcentral.
CCCCUAGAUGUUCUGGGCCGCACGCGCGCUACACUGAACAGUUCAACAAGUCUUAACCUUGGCCGAUAGGUCUGGGUAAUCUUUGAACGCUGUUCGUGAUUGGGAUAGACCUUUGCAAUUAUGGGUCUUCAACGAGGAAUUCCUAGUAAACGCAAGUCAUCAGCUUGCAUUGAUUACGUCCCUGCCCUUUGUACACACCGCCCGACGCACCUACCGAUUGAAUGGUCCGGUGAAAUCUCGGGACGGCGGCUUGGUCGCUCGCGUCCGACUGCUGAAACUUGAUUAAACCAUAUCAUUUAGAGGAAGGUGAAGUCGUAACA